This is a long non-coding RNA of Rosa chinensis, 1003 nucleotides long. RefSeq lists it as uncharacterized. Lineage: Eukaryota; Viridiplantae; Streptophyta; Magnoliopsida; Rosales; Rosaceae. The transcript has 6 exons. The record is from RefSeq and is a predicted model, not a curated record.
AAUUUUUUUGUCGAAGGUUAAAUUUCCCACUUUUUUUCCCACACAUGCCAAAGUGCGAAUCUCUAAUUUUCAGUUGACCUCUCUCCCACUCUCUCUCCCUGUGCAUCUCUUCCAAGUCGAACAAAUUGGAGCUCUGAUACUUUAGCUCUGAGCAAAAUAAAUCUCACCACAUAUGGAUCGGAAUUAGAUGGUAUGCCAGAUGGUCGACUCAUAGUCCUUAUUUAUGUGGAUGAGAUGCUAGAGGUUUAAGUUUUGUUUCCAUCUACUCUUCCGCAGAGGCCGAAACCCUCUCAUCCUCUCAGCAAUUCGUUGUCGUCUCUCCCCAAACCCCCAACCUAGCUGCUGUCCCUAGAAGCCUCCGACCCCCUCCGCGAUGCCAUUGAGGAGCUCCAGUGCCGCCAGCGCACUGAUGUUGCGCGUGGCUCGCCGCACAACCCGCCCAAUGUAUGAAUGAGAGAGGAUAUGAUUGUUGGAUUUCCAACCUAUCGAUAUGAUGAAGGUGAGUGGCUCGCACUGAUGUUGCGCGUGGCUCGCAUCUCAACUAGUUCUGGUAUGCUUGCUACCUGAGUCAUCCAACCUAUCGAUAUGAUGAAGGUGAGAAUUCAAUUGGAUCAGGGAUCAGCUGGACAAGUUGCCAGGACCAUGAUCAAGAAGGAGGGUUUUGGUUCAUUGUAUAAGUGCUAGCACUUAGAGGAACAGACUAUGGCAAGUCAAAGAUGAGUUAUCCGGGCCAUGAUUUUAUACUAUCUGCUAAUCAUUUAAGAUACUAGUCCUUCCAUGGAAUCCUCAGCUUUGAGUUGUUACAUUGAAGGAUAUUAUUUGGCAAGGAGAAACCAGUGGAGUUAAUGAAGUGCUGCAUUCAUUCAUGAUUGAUAUCCAAUAAGAAGAUUAGCGGAGUAUUCAUUAAGAUAUAUUUUCCAAAUCAUUUUGUAGUCACUUUAGACUUAUUUUGUAUUGUAUAUUAAUGUAUUUUAGUGAGUAAUAGUCCUUUUGGUGGUUUUAA